UACAGAGGGUGCGAGCGUUAAUCGGAAUUACUGGGCGUAAAGCGUGCGCAGGCGGUUUGCUAAGACCGAUGUGAAAUCCCCGGGCUUAACCUGGGAACUGCAUUGGUGACUGGCAGGCUAGAGUAUGGCAGAGGGGGGUAGAAUUCCACGUGUAGCAGUGAAAUGCGUAGAGAUGUGGAGGAAUACCGAUGGCGAAGGCAGCCCCCUGGGCCAAUACUGACGCUCAUGCACGAAAGCGUGGGGAGCAAACAGG
RNAcentral lists this ribosomal RNA (253 nucleotides) under uncultured bacterium. Its description in RNAcentral is "partial 16S ribosomal RNA". It matches the Rfam family "Bacterial small subunit ribosomal RNA", at positions 524 to 776 of the family's 1533-position model. The record is from RNAcentral.